RNAcentral lists this ribosomal RNA (467 nucleotides) under uncultured bacterium. RNAcentral's name for it is "bacterial SSU rRNA". It matches the Rfam family "Bacterial small subunit ribosomal RNA", at positions 329 to 793 of the family's 1533-position model. The record is from RNAcentral.
UACCAGACUCCUACGGGAGGCAGCAGUGAGGAAUAUUGGUCAAUGGGCGAGAGCCUGAACCAGCCAAGUCGCGUGAAGGAUGAAGGAUCUAUGGUUUGUAAACUUCUUUUAUAUGGGAAUAAAGUGAGGAACGUGUUCCUUUUUGUAUGUACCAUAUGAAUAAGCAUCGGCUAACUCCGUGCCAGCAGCCGCGGUAAUACGGAGGAUGCGAGCGUUAUCCGGAUUUAUUGGGUUUAAAGGGUGCGUAGGUGGUUAAUUAAGUCAGCGGUGAAAGUUUGUGGCUCAACCAGAAAAUGGCCGGGGAAACGGGUGGACGUGAGGAGAGUUGAGGUAGGCGGAAUGCGUGGUGGAGCGGUGAAAGGCAGAGAGAGCACGCAGAACGCCGAGGGCGAAGGCAGCUGACGAAACUAGAACUGACACGGAAGCACGAAAGCGGGGGGAUCAAACAGGAGGAGAGACCCGCGUAC